Molecule: non-coding RNA, 593 nt
Organism: Cinara cedri
Lineage: Eukaryota; Metazoa; Arthropoda; Insecta; Hemiptera; Aphididae
Source: the annotation of a GenBank genome assembly
AAUCCAAAUUACAAAAAUAAUAUAUAAUUAUAGAUUUUAAAAAAUGUAUAAAUAUAAAACUUCAUAAUAGAAUGGAAGCCAGAAAUCAGAAAAACUUUUUAACAUAGUUUCAAAUGCAUAAUUUUAUCAAGUCAUGGUGUUCUUUAUAUGAUUUCUGCCCAUACAUGAUUCCAAAAAAUGUCUGUUGGUUCCAAGAAAGUUUGUUUCCCCAUUUAGCAGAAACUUUUUAUGUUUUGACUGUGAGCCUUUGUAUACAGAUAAACAAAGUGUGGUUAACAGUAGUAUGGUGUAAUCUCACUUCCUGUGAAUUGUUGAUGAUUUUCCAACAAUUAAAUUAAAUUAUUGAGUUUGGUUUGGUUUAUUAUUCCAUAGUAGGUAAACUACCAAUGUUUUCUCCAAAUGAUCAGGUACUCCCACUAUCCAUAUAAUAAUAAAUGCAUCAUAUAAAUAUAAAAUAAUUCAGUUAUGUUGUAUGUUAAUGUUUAUUUUCAUUUGUUAUUACUGAUACUGUAUAAAUUCAAGUCAAUUGGUAAUGGUUUUGUAACGUCAAAAUAUUGCAUUGCGAAUUUUAACUGUGUUUAAAACUUUUUAUC